Molecule: ribosomal RNA, 365 nt
Filed under: uncultured fungus
Lineage: Eukaryota; Fungi
Description: eukaryotic LSU rRNA
Rfam family: Eukaryotic large subunit ribosomal RNA
Source: RNAcentral
AUAUCAAUAAGCGGAGGAAAAGAAACUAACAAGGAUUCCCCUAGUAACGGCGAGUGAAGAGGGAUGAGCUCAAAUUUGAAAUCUGGCGGUCUUCAGGCCGCCCGAGUUGUAAUCUAGAGAGGUGUUUUCCGUGCCAGGCCGUGUACAAGUCCCUUGGAACAGGGCGUCAUAGAGGGUGAGAAUCCCGUCCAUGACACGGACUCUGGUGCCCUGUGAUACGCCUUCAAAGAGUCGAGUUGUUUGGGAAUGCAGCUCAAAAUGGGUGGUAAAUUCCAUCUAAAGCUAAAUACAGGCGAGAGACCGAUAGCGAACAAGUACCGUGAGGGAAAGAUGAAAAGAACUCUGGAAAGAGAGUUAAACAGUAC